UACGGGGGGGGCAAGCGUUGUUCGGAAUUACUGGGCGUAAAGGGCGCGUAGGCGGCCUUCUAAGUCGGACGUGAAAUCCCUCGGCUUAACCGAGGAACUGCGUCCGAUACUGAAAGGCUUGAAUCCGGGAGAGGGAUGUGGAAUUCCAGGUGUAGCGGUGAAAUGCGUAGAUAUCAGGAGGAACACCGGUGGCGAAGGCGGGUCUCUGGGCCGAUAUUGACGCUGAGGAGCGAAAGCGUGGGGAGCGAACAGG
RNAcentral lists this ribosomal RNA (253 nucleotides) under uncultured bacterium. Its description in RNAcentral is "partial 16S ribosomal RNA". It matches the Rfam family "Bacterial small subunit ribosomal RNA", at positions 524 to 776 of the family's 1533-position model. The record is from RNAcentral.